This 223-nucleotide long non-coding RNA is filed under the name Carica papaya (papaya). Its description in RNAcentral is "long non-coding RNA (CPAP_LNC015938)". The record is from RNAcentral. Lineage: Eukaryota; Viridiplantae; Streptophyta; Magnoliopsida; Brassicales; Caricaceae.
GGUCUAAUUCAUUUGCUCUCAGUUCCCUCUUUCCACUAGCUGGCAGACUGUUUCAUUAAGGCUUUAGCUAUCUCACCAUUUCAAAAUGCUAUGUCCAAUAUCGAUAUACAAAACCCAUAUACUCCACCUUGAGGAGGAUUAUUAGAAUACUUAAUAAGUUUUGUUAUGAUUAUAAUUAAUGUAUUUUGUUGGGUUUAGUUUGUAAAUAUUAUAACUAUAGGGU